Molecule: non-coding RNA, 102 nt
Filed under: Fictibacillus enclensis
Lineage: Bacteria; Bacillati; Bacillota; Bacilli; Caryophanales; Fictibacillaceae
Description: Guanine sequence
Rfam family: Purine riboswitch aptamer
About the family: Riboswitches are metabolite binding domains within certain messenger RNAs that serve as precision sensors for their corresponding targets. Allosteric rearrangement of mRNA structure is mediated by ligand binding, and this results in modulation of gene expression.
Source: Rfam by way of RNAcentral
ACCGUGAGUGCUUAAGUCAUUCGUAUAAAUUUGGGAAUAUGGCCCAAAAGUUUCUACCAGGCUGCCGUAAAUGGCCUGACUACGAAGGUACAUGGAAUUGUA